GUACUUACUUCGGCGGUACAUAUACUAAAAUUUGAACGAUACAGAGAAGAUUAUGAUGGCCACUGCGCAAGGAUGAGACGCAGAAUCGUGAAGAAAAACACAAAUAC
Molecule: small nuclear RNA, 107 nt
Organism: Schistocerca nitens (vagrant locust)
Lineage: Eukaryota; Metazoa; Arthropoda; Insecta; Orthoptera; Acrididae
Source: RefSeq, a predicted model, not a curated record